Molecule: long non-coding RNA, 35829 nt
Filed under: Lathyrus oleraceus (garden pea)
Lineage: Eukaryota; Viridiplantae; Streptophyta; Magnoliopsida; Fabales; Fabaceae
Description: Pisum sativum (pea) long non-coding RNA (PSAT_LNC010923)
Source: RNAcentral
UUUUAGUGAAAGUCCCAUAUUUUUUGGAUUAAUAUUAAAAUUAAUAUGAAUUAAUGAAAAUAAAGCAAUUAAAAUGAAAAUCAGAAAAUACAAAAAAAAAUGUGGACCACUUUAUCUCCCUCAUUAAUUGAGGUGGAAAAUCAAGUGGCUCCAAGCGCGCGUUCCAUGUGUUCCAAAGUCAACAGCGCAGCAUGGAUGGUAAUCAAAACCAACGUAUGAGAUUAAAAAAAAUUAGAAGGAUCAUGUGGUUCUGAGGCGUGCCAACACACCACCGGAGCCAGAGCUUCGAUCUUCUUCUUCGGUGGACCUCACCGGACUGGUCCACCCUCAACCAUCACCAAAAUGAAAAAGGAGGACAUGAAUUUAAAGUAAAAAUGCUCAGGAACUCGAAUUUGGCCUCAAUUUUGUCUAACUCCAAGUAUAUAGAAAGAUACAAGGAGUUGAAUUUUGAGGAUCAUGAUCUGAGUUGCUUCGAUUUGAGCUCAAAGCAACUCAAUCUUCUUGCCUAUAUUGGUAGGACUUCAGACAAUCAAAAAUCAACAAGAAUAGUGGAGGAUUGAGUGAGAAUCGAAGAGAUGAAAAAUUCAGAAAUUCACCUUCACUACAGCUUCAGAUGGACACGAUCUUGCUCUCAAUUGUUUGGCUUUGCUUCAGAUGCUUGAUGGAGUGGAAAUGGAUCAUAGAAGAAGAAGGACUCUUGGAGUUUAAAUCUCAAAAACAGUGGGAGAUUCAAACUCGAUUUUCAAUGAAAAUCACCAAGCUUAUUCUUUGAAUGUGAGGGUUUAGGGUUGCUGAUUCAAAUCUUGCGCGCCAGGGUCCAUAAUUUUGAGCAUGAAGGGUUCUAUUUAUACGCAAUGCAAUUGGUUUGACACCCUCCUUUCAAAAUUCCAAAAUAGAAAUUUGCCUUUUCAUGGAUGCAUGGGCGUGUGACAGGGCCAUGUAAUGAUGCAUUCAGGUCCAAAAAUGAGUGUAACCAAUGCUGAAGUCAUGUGGAAAGGCCAUGCAUUCGUGUGUGGAAAGUGGAACUUCAAAUCUUCCAAAUGGUCCUUCAACUUUAAGCCAUGCGAAAGUCAUUCACACUUUGUCCAAACGGGAUGAUUUUGGACUUUUUAGAAAGGUUAGAUCAAUAUGAACAAUUUUCAUGUUGAACACUUUUUCAUUUGAAGCUUGGAUCAUGAUGAAUUUUGAGGUAGAAGUUUGGAAAAUCAAACAUAUCAAAAAAAAUUCUAAGUAUCAAGCCAUAUGUUCACUUCUUCCAUCUUGGAUAACUUUUUCUAUAGACUUCAAAUGAGAAACUUUCCUUCAUCAAAGUUGUAGAUCUUCUAAAUACCUUCAACUUGGUCACAUAUUUUACCUCAUUUGGAUUUAGCAUGAAGGAGUUAUGCAUUUUAGAAGUUGAGGAAAAUCACUUGUUCAAUGGUAUUGGCCCAAAAUGACCUAUAAUGUUUCCUCAUAUCACAUGUAUUUUCAAGUUGAAUUUUCACUUACUCCAAACAUAAAAGUUGAAGUAGACAUAUUUUAUUUUAUCAUGAAACUUUAAUGGCUUUCAUAUCAUAAACAUUGAGCAAGUUAUGGCCUUAGGAAGUUGACCUCCAAAUUAGGGUUUAGACAAAAUGACAUAUAACCUUUCACCAUAAAAAUGAAUUUACAAGCAAAAAUAGAUCUAUACCUCAAAAUUAAAGUUGUUUGUAAUGUCAUUUAGAUUAAAUUUACUCUUGUAAUCAUUUUCAUAUGACAAACAUUGUAGGAGAUAGGGUCUAGGGAACCCCAGUUUUUAUCAGUUGACUUCCUCUGGUCAACCACCAUGAACCAACUUGCUAACUUGAUAUUCUCUUGACUUUUGGGACUCAUCAAGGAUCAUAAAUGCAUAUUAUGAUGGAGUGUGAAGUAUCCCUUGAAAUAUUUGAUCAAUUGUUGAAGAAGUCACACAAGAUACCCAGAUGAAUUAGGGUUUCCAAGGCAAACCAACUCCAAACUCUUGAUGAUUUCUUAAUUAAAAUAACAUGUGAAGAUCUUGAGGAUUCAUAUAUGAUACUUAGAGCCAUAGUAAACCAAUUCUUGAUUGAACUCCUUGCAAUGAGGGUCUUAAACUCUAGAUAUGAACUUGAUAGAUCAAAGGUGAGCAUGUGCACUAUCUACAAAAGAGUUACACUAUACAAUGACAUAUUUUUGAUAUUUUGGUUAGUAACAAUAAAGAAAAAUGAAAUAUGAUACAAUUAGGUGGUGCUUGGUGAUCUCUCCCAAUGCAAACCCAAUGAAUGAGGGGUAAGGAGGAAGCCAAAGUGUGAUCCCAAUGCUAAUGCAUAUGAUGAGAAGAGCACGAGGUGUCUUAGGGUCAAAAUUGGGGUCUUACAGUUACUAGUUGAUUAUUCAAUUAUUUAUUUAUUUAUAGAAUGUAUUUUAUUUAAAUGAACGAGAGACAUAAACAUUUUUUUUUAUGAUUGUACUUGCUAACGUUUAUAACUAUAUGCCUACGUACCUCCGUAUUAAGCGAAGUAUCAGAGUAUCACAGUUCGUCUUAAAAAUGUUGGUUGGGUUGUUAUUUUUAUCCCUUGAAAAUUCCUCACGCAUCGAGGAUGGAGAAAUACCUGAUUUUUUUUUUAAAAUGCCUCAAUACGCUAGGGUAGAGGUCUUAUUAUUUGGAGUAACUUUGAAUUGAUUUUAUUCCUUUAUCCCUCGCAAAAAUCUUAUUUUAAAUUACUUAGGAAAAUAAAAUAGGAGUCAUAGUUAUGUGAUAACCCCUUAUCCCGAUUUUAAUCAUGUUUUAAUCGUUGAUAACCCCUUUAUCCCAAAUUUAUCACAUGCCUUUAUCCCGUUUUAAUUUGAGGAUAUCAUUUAAUUUAAUAAUAAUAUAUUAAAUAUAAUAUAAUACAAAAAUAAAUUAAAUUAAACAUAAUACAAAUAAUUUAAAUAAGAUGUCAUAAGAUAUAUUUUUUUCUCGAUUUUAUCCCAUUUUACAUCUCUUAAACCCUAAUAAUUUCCCCCGAUUCUAUGCCUUAAUUCAUGAUUUAAUUAAUCCUAAUAUAAAUGAUAAAAAACAUAAUCAAUUAAAAUGUUAUACUACACUUAACUAAUUAGAUAAACAUGUCACAAAAAAAAUUAAAUAACAAAUUUUAUUUUUUAUUUGAAUUAAAAUUAAAUGGAUAACUCAUAAUUAAUAAUUAAUUAAGUAAUUAAUUAACUUAAAAAUUAAAUGGAUAAAUCAUAAUUAAUAAUUAAUUAAUUAAAAAUUAAAAAAACGAAGGGGGUGCAUUUUACCCUAGGUUAACAAAUGAGCUUAAGAAUGGGGUGUUAAUAGCAAAUGAAGAGAGGUCCAUUGGGUCCAGAAUCCUCCUGGGAGAGUCAAAGGUAGACUCUCAACCAGGAACGCUUGAUAUGUUGACUAGAGAGUCAACCAUAUCGAUCCAUUCACGUUGGAUGAGAUGAUCGGAGAAAGUCUUCCAGAUGGAGGGAUGAGAUUGAGGUCAAACAAAGGUGCAUUGUGGACUUACCCGCUCGGGAUGAGUCAAAGUAUGUUCAUCGCGUGGCCAUCAGGGGGGCACGCGUCUUAGAUCCAGCAACGAAGAGAGAGGGUAUAUGAGCGUCACCCCCUCACAAACUCUAAAUUUUCUCUCUUCUUUCUCUCUCUUCGCUCUGCUCUUCUCUCAACUCUCUCUAAACUCCCCCCUGAGCCACCCUUCUCCCACUGUGGUCCACUGACCGGACCACCACCUUCAACUGAAAUCUUCAAGUUCAUCAUGAACAUGAAGAACCCCCAACCCAAAAGUUGAUUCCCCGCCGCCCCUUCCCUAAAACUGUCGUGAGCCCUAAAUCUCUGGUUGAAGCUCAAACAAGAUCUUCAACCGAUGUUCAUCUGGGUGAUGAACAUCAACCUAAAACCCUUAGAUCUUAAGAACCCUCUCCCCAACCCUAUGAAUCCUAACCUGGGUUUGUGAUGAACCCUAACCCUACAUGGGAAGCCAAGAACCCUGGGGUUCAUAUGAUGAACCCUAAUCCUAACCUUGAUGAACUCUAACCCUAAGAAGUACCAAGAAACCCCAAAUUGAACCCUAAAUCACAGUGAUCCAAUCGAGAAACAUAAAUAUGCAAUUUUAAAAAAAAAGCAAAGGCAAAACACAUCCAACCAACCUACGGAGAUAAAAGGUAAUCACUUAGAAAUUAUUCUUUUCCCCUUUGUGUCUGUGUUGAUUUGACUCUUCCCUUCUCUAAUUCUUUUUCUUUGUUUUGGUGUGAGGUGCCACUGGACGGUAAAAGAGAACGAGCUUUAAAGAACUAGGGUUUUAAUGUAAAACCCUACUCUUAAUUGGAUAUAGCUUUUGUGAGGGUUCAGAGAUUGCAGAAGAAUCAACUUCUUAGGGUUUUAUUUUCUUUCCCCCUUUUUCAAUCCUAGACUUAGAUUUUUAUAGACUAGUUUUUAGGUUUAGAAUUUAAUUAGAUUGAUUCAAUUAGGAAGUUUUGUAUUAGGUUGAAUCAGAUUUGAUUUAGUUUGGAAAUAGAUUAGGUUUUACGAAUUGUAACUGAAAUUGUAAUGUAUUUGGUCCAAUGAUUUGUAAUUCAUGAUUGUAUGAAAUUAGAAAGUUUGGAUUGAGUUGAAAUUGCAUGUUUCUAUUUUAAUUAUGUGCGUGAAAUCAGGGGUUGAUUGAGGAAGGCGAUGAACAGGGUUUUGGGUCAAAAAUGGCCCGGUUCAAUGAUGGGUCUGGGUCACGUUAGAGCCAACUAAAGUGAGGACUUGGGUCUUACUUGUCCCAAUUGAGAAAGGCCUGAUCUGGGCUAACUUAAACAAAUGUAACAGAGGCCCAAAAAUAAUAACCCAAAGUACCAAAAAAUAAAAAAUAAAAGGAUAAAAACUGAUUAGUAAUAACUUAAUUCUAAUAUUAAUUAAUAAUAUUAAUAUUCUAAUAAUGAAAAAUAAUAAACUAAAUAAUAAUAUUCAUAAUAAUAAUAAUAACAUUAAUAAAUAAUAACAUUAAUAACUAAUAAUUUAAAUUUUAAAAAUAUAACUACUAAAUUUGAAUAAUUUUUAAAAAUUGAUCAAGACUAAUUAGUUUUAAAAGAUCCAAUUAAAAUACCAACAUCAACCCAAACCCACCUAAAACAACUUAAUAUUCUAAACAAAUUUGCAAAUAUCAAAAUAAGUUCAAUUAAUAUUUAAACACUUAUCAAUAAUCGAAGCUAAUCUCAGCCCUAAUGUUAUCCCUAAAACCUGAUUUAAUCAUAAAUGAACGAAUAUAAAACCAAAAAUUCUCAUGAAAAGUCAAAAUGGUCCCCCUUUGACUUUUUAUUUUUGGGGUUGACCCGAUGAAAAUAGAAAGAUUAGGUGGUCAAAAUAUGGGUUACGACAUAAAGAAUAAUGGAAAAUAUAAUAAAAUAAAUAAAAAUAAUUAUACAAAAUAACCAAUCAAAAAUAAAUAAUGAAAAAACAAAGUAAAAAGAAAAUAAAAAAGCUUGCAGAAAAGUAGUGAUGAAUGGUGUUAAAAAAAGAAGCUAAAAGUAUACGAGAAUCAAGAUGAGUCCAUGGCCCAAAACACACAGAAGACAAAAAAAAUAUGUCUGGUUUGGGCUUAGAGCUGCUAGGAUCGGGUCAACCCAAAGAGAAAAUGUACAAAAACCUAAGUUAAACGAGAGCAGAUUGAAAACAACAUGUCGGGCAACGUCUUCAGCUUUCCUAUUUCCUUUUUUUAGAAAACUCUCUCUCUCUCUCUCUCUCUCUCUCUCUCAUGUUGAGGUGACGGGCAAGGAUUGGCCAGCCCUAACGAACCAAUCCUCCUUUCAGUCAAACAAAUAACUUCCCUUUUUUAAGCUCUAUCAAAAUAAAAAGUGACACGUGGCAGCAAAAAACAAUAAAGAAAAAACAAAAAUAUAGGGUAUUGUGAUUGGUGGAAGGAAAAGCCAUGUCUGUUAAUUUUAAAACACGUAAAUAUCUCAUCUAUAAUUCAAAUAAUUUCAAAAAACAAAAGCAAGAAAAAUUUCUCUUUCUCCAACCGUAGAAAGAAAAACUCAAAAGAUCAUCUCUGAACAUUACUAUCUCUCUUCUUUCUCACGCUCCAUACUUACAAGAGAAACAAACAAACAUGUUUUAAUCUGAAAAAACUCAGAUCCAAUUCUUAAAAUCUUUUGCUAACUCGUUGUUCUUAGUUUUAUUCAAAACGGAAGCUAAAAAGAACCAUUCUUCAGAGAUAUACACUUUCACCAUUACCGAAUCAUAAGGAAAACAAAAGAAAAAAAAAAUGGUUAGUGUACAACAAGAAGCGAGCAACAACAACAAGGGUCCUUUUGAUUCUUCCUUGAUUUCCUUUAAGAUAUAGUUCGAAUUUACAUAUACAUUAAUCUAUAUUAUUAUUGUUUUGAUAUUACUCAGUGUGUGCGUUUUGGAUUGGAUUUAGAUUUUUUCAAGCAAAUUUCGAAUCAAACUCAAUUUCUCGAUCUCUAAAAUGAAUGCAAAAACUUUCUCACAAAAAAACAAAAACAAUUGUAGCACUAAAUGAAUACAAAGAAAGAAAGGUUUUGAAGAUAAAUUAUCGAACAUAAGAACGUAUAAGGCGGUGAGGUUCAUGUUUCGGUCCUCUCAUUCUACUCCCCAUUUACUGUUAGCUCUCUUCCUUCCUGUUUUCAUAGGUUUGUUAUUGACUUGAAAGUAGAAAGUGGUUAUGUAUGAUUUGAAAAGUUAUGAAUGAAGUUAAGGUGAUUAUAAUGUUAUGAGGAAGAAAGUAAUAUAUGGAAAUCAAUAGAUUAAUGGUAAAAAGAGGUUGUGGUUAUGGUGUUGAAGUAUGAAGAUUGUGGGAAGGUAAAAAAAGUUUGUGGUUAUGGUGAAUGAAGUUAUGGUGAUUAUAAUCAUUCUCAUACGAUAGGGAAUUUCUUUUCUGAUACGUAAAUCACUCGCAACAGAUUCAUCAGUUUUAACAUUUCCAUCUGAAUCCACAGAGUUCUUACCAUUAGUUUGUUAGGUUGAUCCAGAAAUAGCAACAAGAAUAUCCUUAUUCAGAAUGUUGGCAUUCUUCUUUAAGGUUAGAAAAAAUUUCAUUUUAGUUUGCCAAUGUUUAAAGUGAAAACCCUUAAAUUUGAAUGGUUUGUCAGAGACAGCGGCCACAAUGUUACCAAUAACAUCUUUGGUAGCCAUGACAUUUUUUGAAAUUGUCUUAAAAUUGUUGUUUCACGGUUUUGAAACUCAGUCACAGAAGAAAUUAUCGAGUCGAGUCGCAUACUAGACCACUCUCUUAAAAACGUUUCGCAUCACUGCCCAAAAGUAUUCAAAGCAAUCGAACUAUCGCGUUGUCCCCCGAAUACAACAACCUAGUUCAAUUAUACGAUCACUACUUGUAGGAUAUGUGAUGGUUUCAUAAAUACACCUUCUAAUGGUGUUGAACCACUCGAUGAUGGUGUGAAAACCACUCGUAGUAUCUAGAUAAACUAGUUGCAGAUGGCAUAGGCAACCCACCAUCUCCUUUUUGUUUCUUUCCACCAUGAAACAAAAAAAUUAUUUCAUAAAUUUAAAAAAGAAUCAAACCACUUAUCAUUUAGCCAUCCAUACAUCAAUCUAGCGCAACAAAAAAUAAAAAACAUAAAUAAAAGCAUUAGUAAAACUCUAAACUCUUCUAAAACAAAGUUAUUGCAACAAAGAUAAUAACCCCGUGAAGUUUAGUUCAAAUGAUACAAUUACUAAUAAUUUUAAAAUUCAAAGUUUACAUAGUGAAACCUCCAUCUGCAGCUAUAAUUUGUCCGGUUAUGUGUGAAGAAGCUGGAAGACAGAGAAAAGCAACCAAUCCUGAUAUGUCCUUAGAUUCUCCCAUCCGACCAAUCGGCGACUGAGACACUAUAUCUUUAGCGAUAUUAUCCACUCCGGUAGAUAAUCUCUAUAAAAAGAGAAAUUGCAAUAGAAAUUAUAUGAGCUUAAAAUAAUAGAGAAUAUAAACAUUAUAUCAAAAUAACAUCACAUGAUAUACAUUAUAUAAAAUGAAUUUAAUUGGAUUUUGUUGUUAUGCGAAUGCAUAUUCCAUGGGGCAUAAGUUCAAAUUUGGCAUGAUAAUAGAGUCUAUACAUAUCAAUAAGAACACCCUUUCCAAGAGUGGCAACUAGAUAAUCGAAUGUUAACACCGCCCAUGAGGGAACCAGAUCAGAAAGUCACCAGCCGACUAUACAACCAUUGGAACAAGUCCAAGAGCAACAAACGGCCUUACCAACAUAUAACUUUUAAGAAAAUAACAUAGUCAUACCCAUUAAUUCCUCUAAAUAUAGAAACUGUCUUACUAGAAAAAAUAGAUUUGCUACAGGGUUUCUUGAUGACUCACAUAAAUGAAUAUCAAAUUAAAGGAUUUCUUGAUGACUCACACAAAUGAAUAUCAAAUUAAAGUCAAACCAAUGCUAAACUUGAACCUAAUCCCUAAUCCCUAAAGUCUUAGAAUCUAGAACAAAGAAAUUAACUACUAAGGAAACUCCAAUCUACAUCCUAUUUGUCUUAAAAUCACAUAGCAAAUUAGAACAAGCACUUCAUAUCUGACAAACAGAUGACUGGUGGAUCUCAUUGAACCUUAACAGUACACACCACCCUUGGUGUUUUGUCACUACCAAGGGUCCAUGCCCUUGGAAAGAGAGUGUCCCUCAAUAGCGGAGACAAGGCUACUCAUUAGGCCAAACUCUUAUACAAAAAUACAUCUCCUCCCCUCCUAAAGUCGCAAACCCAGACUCCGUAUUUCUAAUAACCCAUACUUUUCAAUUGAAGAGAAUUUGUUAAGAAGUAUAAUAUAUUAACCUGCGAUAAUUAAAAUUUUACUAAAUACAAUUUAAUGUGUAUAUUGCUAUAAUCCUUCUAUAUUAACAACAAGUGUGUGUAUUCUAACAUAUAAGACAACCCCGUUUUUUAAGAAGCAAUCAACUAAUGAGAUAAAGUAAUGCAUUUUUAAUUUGUAACACAAGCAAACUAUCACAACUUGACAGUAAUGUUUGUUAGUUGAUUUUAUGCUUUACCAACUAUUUAAAAGGCUCUCUCUCUCUCAAUUUCCUAUAAUUCUCUCUAAAAUUUAUCCAUUUGCAAAUAACUUAAAACAUAAGUUAUCUAACAAAUUAGUAUCAAAGCCAAAUUCAAUCCUCAACCUCCAUCCAUGGAAAAUGGAAGUAAAACCUCCAAUCAAAACUCAACCAAUCUACUAGUGUUCAAUCUAGAACACUAUGAUAGAUGGUGUGCGUUGAUGAAAGUCGUAUUCAAAUUUCAAUAUGUGCUUGAAAUCAUGAAUGAUGAUGUCUUGGCAUUAGAGGCAAAUGUUGUUGAGGCACAAAGAACUAAUCAUCAUGAAAUGAUCAAGAAAGAUGGGAAAGGCUUAUUCUUAAUCAAUUAGUGUGUGGAUCAAAAUGUCUUUGAGAGAUAAUUGACCAAAAAACAACUAAAGACGCAUAGGAUACUUCCAAGAAGUUGUAUGGUGGAAAUGAGAAAUUAAAGAAAGUCAAGUUGCAAUCCUUGAGGAAAUAAUAUGAGAAUAUGAAGAUGAAUGAUGGUGACACAAUUGCGGAGUUCUUUUCAAGAUUUGGGGUUUGACCAAUCAAAUGAUGUUGUUUGGAGAUAUGAUAUAUAAAUUGAAGAAAAUGGAUAAGGUUUUAAGAGCUCUACCUACCAAGUUUGAUCACGUUAUUGUGGCUAUUGAAGAUUCCAAAGAUUUUUUUGAAAUUAAGCUCAAAUAAUUGCAAGCAUCUCUUAAAGCUCGUGAGUUAUGGCUGAAACAUAGAAAUUCAGAGGUGGUGUCUGAACAAGCUUUCCAGGCUAAAUUCUUCAAGAAAAUGAAAGAAGACUCCUCAAAGAACAAGAAAGGAAAAGAAAGGUGGAAGAAGAAGUGGAAUGAUAGUGAUGGUGUAGAAAAGAAAUCGAAAAGUUAGGGCAACACAAGCAAGAAUUAUGCUCUUUACAAUCAUAAAAUCAAAAGGAAGGUAAAUAUGAAGGAAGUCCAAUGCUACUGUUGUCAAAAGUUUGGACACUAUGCUAGGAAUUAUUACUCAACAAAGAAUCAAAUGGAAUGACAAGGGUAUAUCACAAUUUUCUCAUUCCAAAAGUAGAGACUCAAAAGAGGUCAUUUUAAUGGCUAAUAUACAGUUGUCUCAAGAAAAAACAAUGUUUGUUACAUUUGCUCAUAGUGCAACAAUCAUAUGCCUGAAAAUAAAAAUUGGUUCAUCAAGCUUGAUGGAUUGGUGAAGUUGUCCAUUAGAUUUGUAGGUAAUAUGGUCACAUUAUAAGGAAUGGGAAGAAUUCUUGUGAAGAAAAAGAAGGGAAAGAAGAAAGCAAGUGUGAUGUUAUGUAUGUUUUUUCUAUGGAAAACCACUUGAUCAACUUGGGUCAAUUCUUGGACAAAAACUACACAACGAGGCUGGAAGAUAAAAACUCAAGGUGUUUGAUUUAAGUUCCAAGCUAAUCUUGAAGGCACCCUUAUCAACCAACAGGACACUCAAGAUUAUGAUCAACAUGCUAGACCACCAAUGUAUUGCAUCAACCACAAUUGAAGAUCAAAAUUGGAAUUUGCAUUAGAGGUAUGUCCAUCUCAAUUUUAGGAUUCUCCUCCUAAUGCACAUGAAGAUGAUAUAUGGACUUCCCAAAAUCACAAUGUCAAAGAAGCUAUGUGAAGGAUGCUGCAUUGCCAAGGUAAGAAAGUAAUUCAAACAUGACUUGCCAAUGAAGUCAUAAUAAAAGUUAGAGAUUAUGCAUUUAAAUGUGUGUGGUCCUUUUGAAGUGAAGUCAAUAAGAGGUAAAUGCUACUUCUUAACAUUCAUAAAUGAAUUUAAUAGAUGCAUGCGGAUUUACUUGUUGGAGAACAAAAGUGAAGUGUUCACCAACUUCAAAAGGUUCAAGCUGCUAGUUGAAAAGCAGGAUGAAUAUGUCAUUAAAAGGUUGAGAACUGAUGGUGAUGGUGAGUACACCUCAAGUGAAUUUGCUCAGUUUUAUGAAGAAGUAAUGAAGCAUGAAGUUAUAUCACCUUACCCACCUCAACAUCAUGAUAUUUCUGAGAGAAAGAACAUAAGUAUUUUCAAUAGGGAAAGGAGUAUGCUUAAGGAAAAGUGUAUGCCAAACCUUUUCUGGAGUCUUCCACUCCUGUCUACAUCAUCAAUAAGUGUCCAACAAAGAAGCUGAACAGCAAGACACCUUAUGAAUCUUGGUCAGGUUUGAAACCAAGUGUUAGACACUUCAAUAUUUUUUGCUCAUUAUGUUACAGACAUGUACAUGAUCAACUCAGAAGGAAGCUUAGUGAUAUAGGCCAUGCUAUAAUCUUAGUUGGUUACCAUUCGAUAGGUGCAUACAAGUUAUUCUCUCCAUAUGAGAACAAGGUCGUAAAUAGUAGAUAUGUGGAAUUUUAUGAAAGCAAAGGAUGUAAUUGGUUGAGAGAUUUAAGUAAUUCAGUGCAAUAGGAUGAAGGUUCAGAAAAAUCAGAACCACUCUUUAAGAUGAUGCCCAAUGUGUAGAGACUGGUCUUAAGCUUGCACAACCACGGGAAGUGACGAGAUAAACAAAGGCCCAAAAUUAAUCAGUUAUAUUGAAUGAUUAUGAGAGAUUUUCUGUCAAUCCAUAAGAGAAAAUGGUGACUUAUUUGAAGAAGGCGUGAUGGAUGAAUCAAAAUCAAUUGAUCAUGUUCAAGGCAUGAAAGAUGAGAAUUGACAUGGCUCAAUGAAUGAAGAGUUCAAGGCCAUUAAAAAUAAAAAAAGUGUGAGUAUUGGUCAAGUAUUCAACUAAGAAAUCAAUACAUGUCUAGUGGGUUUAAAUAUUGAAGUUGCAGUCAAAAGUUGAGAUUUCCAAAUAUAAGGCAAGAUUGGUGGCAAAAGGGUUUCUUAAAAAAUACGAAACUGAUUUUAAUGAAGUCUAAGCACAUAGAAAAAAUGGAUGUGUUGUUUCCUUAGGAAUCAAGUUUGUAAAAAAGAUUGAGAAUUGAGUAUUGUAAAAUUGAGUUGCAAUUGGAAGAUAUCUUGACAAAAUCCUUGAAGGUCUUAAAAGGUUAAUGGAAGUGAGGAGUUAAGAGAAUCUGAAUUAAGAAGAGUAUUAGAAUAUAAUUUAGUUUCUUGGUACGGCUUUUGAUGACACUUUAAAAAUGUUGCACUUGUAACUUGCAAUACAAGCAAACUCUCACAACUUAUCAAUUAAGUUUGUUAGUUGAUUUUAGACUUUAUCAACUAUUUAAAAGUCUCUUCUCAUUGUACUUAUAUUAAUUUCAUUCUAAUAAUAUAUAUCUCUCAAUUUACUUUACUUCUUUCUAAAAAUUUCCAAAUAAUUCAUAUAAAAAAAAACUUGCAAAUGUUAAUGGUGUGUCAACAGUCAAACGUUUUAUUGUUACUUAUAAACUUGAAAUAAAUAUUUAUCCUUCUUUCUUUUACCCUACCAAAAUCUUAUCAAUAUGGAUAUCCCUCGCAUGGGUAUAAAUAAACAUCAACAAAUGACAUACCAUUGCAUUCUCUAAAAGUAAGGUCUUGACAGGUCCAGGUGCCACAACAUUAGCACGAACAUUAUCCUUUGCCCAUUCCAAUGCUACGUUUUUAGUAAACUGAUUCAUAGCUCCUACAUAGAUUUUUGUUAUGUUGAAAAUACUAAUCAUCUUCUACAAUUCAAUUCCAUGUUAAAGAAUACAUAUAUGCAUAUAAACAAACACACCUUUAGAAGCUGCAUAGGCAGAAGAAAAUUCAAAGGCUUUCAGAGCUGCAAUUGAGGAUAUGAAUACUAUGCUUCCAUAUCCAGAUUCUUUUAGAAGUGAAUGUGCAAGUUGACACAAAUGGUAACCAGACACAAAAUUGGUACUCAUUAUAGUUGUCACAUCUUCAUUGGUGUAGUCUAAAAUAGGUUUAGGAGUAAAUGUUCCAGCAUUAUUUACCUAUCAAUAUAAAUAUUUAAAGAAAAAUUAAGAGUGAAAUUAUUUAUUAUUUUUAAAAUCUAAUUCGAAUGAUAAGUUCUUACUAGAAUAUUGAGUUUUCCAUUAAACACCGAAGCAACAGUUUCCAUUAAUUUUUCACGUUGGUCACGGAAUAGUAAAUCACAUACUGAUCCUGUCACGUUAAAUCCUUUAUUUUUCCACUCUUCCAAACAUUUGUUAAUAUCAUCUUGAUUACGUGAACAUAUAUGCACAGCUGCUCCAAAUUCUGCUAACUCUUCGACAAUUGUGUACCUAAUUCAUAACACAAAAGGCAGAAAAAAAAUUAAAAGAUAAAUUGCAUGUUGUCACAGCCACAGGAGAUAAAAUUGUACUAUUAAAAAACUGACCCUAUGCCUCGGGUUCCACCAGUCACUAGAGCUGUCAUUCCUUGGAGUGACCAUCUUUUAUCUUUGAAGCUGCUCAACUUUGUUUCUGCCAUUUUUCUUGUUACUAGUUAAUUAAUCAGUGCGUUUUGGUUGUGAUUUUGAAAGAAAAAAUAAGAAAUAUAUUCAUGGACAAGAGGAAUGUGGACAAACAGUCGGACAAAAUUUUUGAUAUGUACGAAGUUCAUGUAACAAAUGUGUGGUCGAAAAAUAUGUAGGUAGAAUACAAGAUUAAUCAUCCAAAAACUUAUGCAUGUCUGAGAACAUUCUAGGUUUUAUUAAAUCCUCAAUAUAGUAUAUAAAACUAAAUUAUUAACAGUGUACAUUUUAAACUAAUUAUACCUAGUUUUAGUGUUUAAGUAACAAAAUAUGUCAUUGAAAGUAUCCCAUUUUUUCUCACGAUUGAAAUACUGAUUGAUGUGAAAAUUUAUUUCAUCAUAAGUUCGAAUUCCAACAAUAGUAUUUUUGCAUUUUCAAAAUGACGCAUUCCACUAACUUUACUCCAUGGUUCAAAUACAAACCAAGAUGAAUAGCUUAACUUUUUGUCACGGUUGUGCCUUUAACUCGAUGGAUAGGUUUUAGGGAUAAUUUUUUCUCUUCCACUUUUAACCGUGGAAAAAUGUAUUGUAUCUUCUAUCACUUUUAUUGUGUUCUUUAUAUAUUGAGAUGAACGGAAUUUAUUUUAAAGGAUAAAUAUUUGUUUUUUUAUAAUAAUUUAAGUAUAUCAUAAAAACAUAAUCAUUUGUUUAACAAAGAAGGAAUUGUAUCAUCUAGAGAAGAAUCGCAACACAAAAAAGGUUAUGUUUAGUGAUAUUUGUGGUAAACAAUCAUAAGUUUUAAUUCACUUACAUGAUAAAACUCGAAAAAAUCCUAUGACAUAUUGUGUAGAAACAAUUAGAGAAAAGGUGUCCAUGCUUAAUCACUUAGUGUUUGAAUGUAAACAAUUUGAGGAAAACUUCAGAAAAUAUUCAAGCAUAAUUGUUAGAAGAUAAAGGAAAUGAUAAAAAAAUGAAAUGAAAUGUUUAAGUUAAAAAUGGGACGCAUAUUUAUACAUUUUCUCACGAAUUCACUAUCUUUGUAACUUGGAUGUGAGAAUUCGAUAGAGACUAAUAAUAAAAAUUGCAAACCCUGGCUACAAAGAUUAAAUAAACUUAUAUAUAAGUACAUCAGUAACUAUCGAAAACGGUCAAAUCUCCAGCAUUCGACAUGUAUAAUUCUACAUGACUGUAUGUCCUCUUCACUGCUUCUAUGUGUCUUCAAUCUUUGAGGUGCAACAAAAUUGCCACUUCCGUCGAGAAAAAUUCACAAAUCCUUCAACUACUGUUUUCGUAAAUCCUUAGUCGAAGCUUGCAAUCUUGGUGUUGAACCAUGUUUCAAUUACUUGCACUUAGCCUAUGUAUUUAUCUCACCCCCUUUUUCCUCUUGGACUUUUAAUCGUGGAGAAAUGUAUUGCAUCUUAUAUCACUUUUACUGUAGUCUUUAUAUGUUGGGAUGAAUGAAAUUUAUUUUAAAGGAUAAAUAUUUGUUUUUUUAAUAAUAACUAGAUUUAGACCCGCGCGAUUAAUUAAUUUUUAUUUGUUUUAUAUCGAGUUUUAAUUAUGUUAAGAAUUUUUAUUUAGUAAAUAUGGACAACAAAUUUAUAUUAUAAUAAUUUAUGAAUUGUAAUUGAGACAAUGAUAUGAAUUAAUCAAAAAUAAAAAAAAUGUAUGUUUGUAAGUUGAGAAUGGCAUACAAGAUUUUACUUUGUAAUUUUAAAUAAUUUUAAGAGAUAUCAUUAAUGAUUUAUUUUUUAUUUUGAUUCUAAUGUAUUUUUUUAAUAUUUCUCUCUCUUUUAUAUAUUUUAUUAUAAGUUAUUAAAGAUAUGUAUUCACUUUUAGCUUUAAAUGAAAAUUAAUUAUUAUUUUCAAUUAUUAUCGAAUAAAGCGUUCAAUAGCUUUACAAAUUUAUUUGUAUAACGUCCAAUUUUUGUUAUACGUGAGAAAUUCAGAAUUUUAUUGUUUGUUUUUAAUUUAUUUGUGUGAUAUUACAUUCUCUAUUAUAGUUCUAGAUAAAUUGAGACUAAUUUAACCUUGUGAAAUUAUGAAAUAUAUAGUUUAACAUUAAAAGUAUUUUUCAAGGUUUUUUUAUUGCUCUAAUUUUAAGAGAAAAAAAAUAUUUUAAAGAGUGUGGAUCUUUUUCAAAUUACAAAUAAUACAAAUAGUUUGAGUAAUUGUAAAGAGAUGAACCCCGUACUAUUUAUCAAUAUGCAAUAAAAGAAUAUAUGGAUUGUAUCAUAUUUAAACUUUUGCAAUGUGAUUUUAAAAUUAAAAUAGAAACAAAGUAAAUACAUAUGAUUUUAAUAAUUUAAUUUAUAUUUUUUAAAAUUUAAUAUAAUUUAAAUUAAAUAUAUUUAUAUGAUUUAUAAAUUUUGUAUGUUAAGUAUAUAUUUCUUAAAAUAUAUCAAAUAUAAUUUAUCUCUAUCUCUUUUUUAUUAAUUUUUAUUUUAUCUAUUUUUAUGCAUUUAUCUCUUUUUUAUCUUUUAUUAUAAUAUAUAUAUAAAUAGAUUAAUAUAUUAUAUAAUCUAUUUUUAUGCACUUAUCUCUUUUUUUAUCUUAUAUUAUGAUAUAUUUUAUCUCUUUCUUAUUAUAUUUUAAUUUAUUUUUAUUUUUUGUUUUAAAAUUAUAUGUUAAAUCUAAUAAGUUAUUUAAAUAUUAGUAUUUUUUAUUGUAAAAUAUAUGAUGAAGAAGUAUUAUAUUAUUUUUUUUUAGAAAAUUGAAAGAUUCUUAAAUUAUUUUUGAGACACUAAAUAAAAAAUAAUCAAUUUUUUUUUCAUUAUUAUAAUUCAGAAAUUACUGUAAGACAAAUAUGAAUGGUAUUUUAUAAAGUUUAUGAAAGUAAUAUAUGAGCAGAUAAGAUAAGCUCUAUUUUGAAAAAUUAUUCGCUGAGAUUUAAUAAAAAUUUAAUUAUAUUUGUCUUAUAAUUACAUUAUUAAAAGUAAUAAUAAUAAAUUUAUUGUGAGUCAAUCAUUAAGAUGUUUUUUGAAAUAAACAAAGUUAAUACUUAAAUAUCACAUUAUUUUAUUUUUGUAUUAGUCAGAAUUCAAAUCGAAAAUCUUUUAUAGAGAGUAACAAUAUGUUUUGAUCUUUUAAAAAUUGAAGAUGGAUUUUGAGAGAUGUCACAUGGAAAAAUAAAUGAUGUGACAUAAAAGAAAUUGAAGUGUCGCAAGAUUGUUUGAUACACUAGAUUUAAAAUAUAUAAAUAGAUAGGUUCCACAUAUAGGAAGUUAAAUGAUGUGGCACAAAAGAAGUUAAAUGUCGCAAGAUAGUUUGAUGCACUUGAUUUUAUAUAUAUAUAUAUAUAUAUAUAUAUAUAUAUAUUUAUUUAUUUUUAUAAUUCAGAAAUUACUAUGAGAAAAAUAUGAAUAGUAUUUUAUAAAUUUUAUAAAAAUAAUAUAUAUGAGCAAAUAAGUUGAAUGUUUAAAAAUUAUUCGUUGAGAUUUAAUAAAAAUUUAAAUAUAUUUGUCUUAUAAUAUAUUUUAUUGAAAAUGAUAAUAAUAAAUUUAUUAUGAGUAAAUGAUUAUGAUAUUUUUUUGAAAUAAACAAAGUUAAUACUCAAAUAUCAUAUUAUUGUAUUUUUGUAUUUGUGAGAAUUGGAACCCAACAUCUUUUAUAGAGAGUAACAAUAUGUUUUGAUUGUUAACCGUGGAGAAAUGUAUUGUAUCUUAUACCACUUUUAACGCGCUCUUUAUAUGUUGUGAUGAAAGAAAUUUAUUUUAAAGGAUAAAUGUUUAUUUUUUAUAAUAAUUUAAGUAUAUCAUAAAAACAUAAUGAUUUAUUCAAAGAAGAAGUUGUAUCAUCUAGAGAAGAAUAGCAUCCCAAAAAGAAAAAGAAAAGUUAUGUUUACCGAUGUUUUUGGUAAACAAUCACAACUUUUAAUUCACUAACAUGAUUAAAUUAAAAAAAAACAUAUUAAAUAUUGUGUAGAAACGGUCAGAGAAAAAUUGUUCAUGCUUAACCACUCAGUGUUUGAAUGUCAGGGCCGACCCUGUGGGUGUGUGAGGUGUGUGACCGCAAAGGGCCUCAAAAAUUAUGGGGCCUCAAAUACUAAAAAUAAAUCAAAUAUUUAUUAUAUACAUAGUUUAUUAAAUACAUGUUUGAUGUUUAUGUAGUGACCUGAUGAAACUGUAUCAAUGUUUUGAUGGUCAUGGCCUUAGUUCAAUUCUACCAUUCUAAAAUCUUGAUCUACUUUAUUUUACAAAAGUGCAAUAGGAAGGAAUAUAGUUUAACCUUUUCAUUAUACAAACUAUAGAACAAAGAGAAUAGUCACUAUUUAAUUAUUUUAAAUUUUUUAAAUAAUAUUAAAGAUCAAUCAUAUAACUCAUUCAUUUAUUAUUACAUUUUUAUGAUAAAUUAUCAUACAAUAUUAUUUGUGAAUCAAUGUUUUUUAUAUAGAAAGAAAUAUAACUUUUCUAAAGAUAUAUUAUUAUUGAAUUUUAUUUUUAUAAUCAUUUUUUAUUAUAUCUUUUAAUAUUGUUUACAAUUUAAAUAAAAAUUUAAUUUCUUUUUUCAAUAAUUUUAUUUUAGAGUUCAACAUGAAAGAUUAGAUCAGGGCCUCGAAAUGUUUUGGGGCGGCCCUGUUGAAUGUAAACAAUUUCAGGAAAAUAUCAGAAAGUAUAAAUGCAUGAUUGUUAGAAGAUAAAGGAAAUGAUAAAAGAAAUGAAGUGAAAUGCUUAAGUUAAAAAUUGGGAGCAUAUUUAUAUAUUUUCUUACAAAUUCACUAUCUUUGUAACUUGGAUGUUAGAAUUCUAUAGAGACUAAUAAUGAAAUUUGUGAUCCUUGUUACAGAGAUUAAAUCAACUUAUAUACAAGUACAUCAGUAACCAUGGAAAAUGAUCAAAUCUCCAGCAUUUGACAUAUAUAUUGCUACAUGGCCUUCUAUCCUCUUCAUUGCUUCCACGUGUCUUUAAUCUUUGAACUGCAACAAAAUUGCCAGUUUUGUCGAGAAAAAUUUACAAGUCCUUCAACUACCUCUGUCGAGAAUCCUUAGUUGAAUCUUGUAAUCUUUGUGUCGAACCAUGUUUCAAUUACUUACGCAGCCUAUGGAUUUAUCUCACUCACUUUUUCCUCUUGGAUUUUUAACAGUGGAGAAAUGUAUUGUAUCUUAUAUCACUUUAACUAUGCUCUUUAUAUGUUGGAUGAAAGAAAUUUAUCUUAAAGGAAAAAUGUUUGUUUUGUUUAUAAUAAUUUAAGUAUAUCAUAAAAACAUAAUCAUUUGUUCAACAAAGAAAAAAUUGUAUCAUCUAGAGAAUAAUUGCAACCCAAAAAGAAAAAGAUUAUGUUUAUCGAUGUUUUUGAUAAACAAUCACAACUUUUAAUUCACUUACAUGAUUAAACUCGAAAAAAUCAUAUGACAUAUUAUGUAGAAACAGUUAGAGAAAAGGUGUUCAUGCUUAACCACUCAGUGUUUGAAUGUAAACAAUUUCAGGAAAAUAUCAGAAAGUAUAAAUGCAUAAUUUUAAGAAGAUAAAGGAAAUGAUAAAAGAAAUCAAAUGAAAUGCUUACGUUAAAAAUGGGGAGCAUAUUUAUAUAUUUUCUCACAAAUUUACUAUCUUUGUAACUUGGAUGUUAGAAUUCUAUAGAGACUAAUAAUAAAAAUUGCGAACCCUGACUAUAGAGAUUAAAUCAACUUAUAUACAAGUACUUCAGUAACUAUCAAAAACGGUCAAAUCUCCAGUAUUUGACAUCUAUAAUUCUACAUGGCCUUAUGUCCUCAUCAUUGCUUCCAUGUGUCUUCUAUCUUUGAAGUGCAACAAAACUGCCACUUCCUUCAAGAAAAAUUCACAAGUCCUUCAACUACUGUUAUCGUAAAUCCUUAGUCGAAGCUUGCAAUCUUGGUGUUGAACCAUGUUUCAAUUACUUGCUCUUAGCCUAUGUAUUUAUCUCACCCCCUUUUUCCUCUUGGACUUUUAAUCGUGGAGAAAUGUAAAUUUAUUUUAAAGGAUAAAUGUUUUUUUUUAAGAAUAACUAGAUUUAGACCCGUGCGAUUCACGACUGUUAAUUAAUUUUUAUUUGUUUUGUAUCGAGUUUUAAUUAUGUUAAGAAUUUUUAUAUAGUAAAUAUGGACAACAAAUUUAUAUUAUAAUAAUUUAUGAAUUAUACUUGAGACAAUGAUAUGAAUUAAUCACAAAUAAAAAAAUAUAUGUUUGUAAGUUGAGAGUGGCAUAAAAGAUUUUACUUUGCACUUUUAAAUAAUUUUAAGAGAUAUCAUUAAUGGUUUAUUUUUUAUUUUGAUUCUAAUGUAUUUUUUUAAUAUUUUUCUAUCUUUUAGAUAUUUUAUUGUAAGUUGUUAAAGAUAUGUAUUCAUUUUUAGCCUUAAAUGAAAAUUACUUUAUUUUCAAAUAUUAUCGAAUAAAGCGUUCAAUAGCUUUACCAAUUUAUUUGUAUAACGUCCAAUUUUAGUUAUACGUGAGAAAUUCAGAAUUUUUUAUUUGGUUUUAAUUUAUAUGUGUGAUAUUAUGAGAAAAGUAUAUAAAAUAGAUGUAUAAAUUCGUUAAAGAGUGAUGCAUCAUCUAUUAUAGUUCUAGAUAAAUUGAGACUAAUUUAACUUUCUGAAAUUACGAAAUAUAUAGUUUAACAUUAAAAGUAUUUUUCAAGAUUUUUUUAUUGCUCUAAUUUUAAGAGGAAAACAAUACUUUAAAGUGUGUGGAUCUGAGCAUAUUUUUUAUUUUUGAAAUUAUGAAUAAUACAUUUAGUUGGAGUAAUUGUAAAGAGUUGAACCCCAUACUAUUUAUCAAUAUGCAAUAAAAGAAUAUAUGUAUUGUAUCAUAUUUAAACUUUUGCAAUAUGAUUUUAAAAUUAAAAUAUAAACAAAGUAAAUACAUAUUUUUUUAAAAAAUAUUUUUUAAUAAUUUAAUUUAUAUAUUGAAUUAAAUUUUUAUAUUUUAAAAUUUAAUAUAAUUUUAAUUAAAUUUAUUUAUAAUAUUUAUAAAUUUUGUAUGUUAAGUAUAUAUCUCUUAAAAUAUAUUAAAUAUAAUUUAUCAAUAUCUCUUUUUUAUUAAGUUUUCUUUUAUCUAUUUUUAUGCAUUUAUCUCUCUUUUAUCUUAUAUUAUAAUAUAUAUAUAUAUAUAUAUAUAUAUAUAUAUAUAUAUAUAUNAUUUAAAAUUUCUCAUAUGGGUCUAUCUAUUUACUCAUAUAUAUCUACCAUAUACUCAUAUCUAUAAUAUACUAUACUACCUAUAUAUAUAUAUUAAACCCAAUGUAUCAAACUACUUAGACAUUCAAUCUUCACUCUUUCACAUCCCGCCACCUUCCUUCUUUUUUCCAUCCGUGGCAAUCGUAUCUGAAAAUUUAUCUCAUUUUCAAAGAUCAAAAACUUUAUCCUUACAAUAAACUUUUUUCAUCCGCACAACUCACAUCACCCCACCACGCACGUGCACGUAAAAGUGAUAUAAGCAUAACAUACAUUUCUACACCGGUUAAAUGCUCCAAGAGGACACACACGCCGGUGAGAUACAAUACAUAGGCUAAGCGGAUAAUCUGAAACAUGGUUCGACACCAAUUACGAGAUUCGCUAAGGAAUUCUCGACAAAGGUAAGUUAAGGACUUGUGAAAUUUUCCUUCGACAGAAGUGUGAAUUUUGUUCCGUUCAAAGAUUGAAGACACAUGGAAGCAUGACAGAGGAUAGAAGCCAUGUAGCACUAUACAUGUCAAUGCUAGAGAUUUGACCGGUUUUCCAUGGUUACUCGAUUGUACUUCUAAUAUAAGUUUGAUUUAAUCACCUGUAACAAGCAUUCACAAUUUUCAAUUAUUGUCUUAUUGAAUUCUAACAUCCAAGUUACAAAGAUUAGUCGAAUUUUUUGAGAAAAUAUAUAGAAUAGAGCUCCCCAGUUUUUUAAUCUAAGCAUUUUACUUCAUUUAUUUUUAUCAUUUCCUUUGAUCUCUAACAAUUAUCCUUUAUACUUUCUGAUUUUUCUCAAAAAUUUACAUUCAAACACUGACUGGUUAAGCAUGAAAAACUAUUCUCUAACCGUUCUUUAAAUAUUUAAUAUGAUUUUUUUUUCGAGUUAAUGCAUGUAAGUGAAUUAAAAGUUGUGAUUGUUUUAAGCCAAAAACAUCGAUAUACAUAACUUUUUUCUUUUUGGGAUGCAAUUCUUCACUCGAUAACAUUUUCUUCUUUGUUGAACCAAAUGAUUAUGUUAUUUUAUGAUAUAUGUAAUUUACUAUAAAAAAACAAAUAUUUAUCCAUUAAAAUAAAUUUCUUUUUCAAUCCAACAUAUAAAAAGCGUAGUUAAAGUGAUAUAAGAUAAUACAUUUUCUCCACGGUUUAAAGUCCAAGAGGAAAAAGGGGGUGAGAUAAAUAACAUAGCGUAAACGCAAGUAAUUGAACAUGGUUUGACACCAAGAUUACAAGAUUCGACUAAGGAUUCUCGACAACGGAUAGUUUGAAGGACUUGUAAAUUUUUUCUUGACAAAACUGGCUAAUUGUUGUGCAGUUCAAAGAUUCGAGAGACAACGUGGAAGCAAUGAAGAGGAUAGAAGGUCAAUGUUAGCACUAUACAUGUUCAAAGCGGGAGAUUUUUAGCCAUUUUUCAUGGUUCUGACUGUACUUGUAUAUAAGUUGAUUUACUCUCCUGUAACCAGGUUCACAAUUUUAUUAUUCGUCUCUAUAGAAUCUACCAUCCAAGUUAAAACGAUAGUGAAUUUAUGAUAGAAAUUUAAAUAUGCUCCUCCGCAUUUUCUUAAAUAAGCAUUUCACUUCAUUUUUAUUUCAUUUCCUGAUCUUCUCAAUUCAACAUUUAUCUUUCUGAUAUUUCCUUCAAAUUGUUUACAAUCACAACAGUGGAGUGGUUCAGCGAUAACAAUUUUUCCUCAAACCGUUUCUACAGCAAUAUGUCAUAUGAUAUUUUCGAGUGUUAAUCAGUAUAGUGUAUUAAAGUUGUGAUUGUUUACCAACAAGCAUCGGUAAACAUAACCUUUUUUCUUUGGGGAUGCAAUCUUCUAUAGAUCUAUAACAUUUUUCAUUGUUGAAUAAUGACUUAUGUUUGUUGAUAUAACUUAUAAUUAUAUAAAAAACAAACAUUUAUCCUUUAAAAUAAACUUCUUUUAUUCCCCAACAUAUAAAAAGAGUGUAGUAAAAGUGAUUAAGAUACAUACUUUUCCAUGGUUACAAAGUCCAAGAGCGAAAAAGGCGUGAGAUAAUACAUAGGCUAAGCGUAACGAAUACAUUGAACAUGGGUUCGAACCCAAUAUUAACGAUCGUUAGAUUCUCGACGAACAGGUAUUUAGGACUUGUGAUUUUUCCUCGACAACAGUGGGACCUUGUUGGCAGUUCAAAGAUUUAGACCAAGAAGCAAUGAAAACAGGUAGAAGCCAUCGUAGAACAUCAAUAUCAAUCAUGGAGACAUUGCACGCUUUUCCAUGCGUUAUGAUGUCUGUAUAGUAAGUUCGAUUUUAAAUGUUUGUACAUUGCGUUCGCAAAUUUCAUUACUUGUUUUAUAGACUUACUCAAUACAACGAUAUGUAAAUUUGUGAGAAAAUGAUAAAUAGCUCUCCCAUUUUUAACUUUAGCAUUUCACUUCAUUUCUUUUAUCAUUCCUUUAAUCUUCUAUUGAUUACGACAUUUAUCUUUAUGAUAUUUCCUCUUGCUGUUACAGUCAACACCGUGUGGUUAGGCAUGCAACGUUUCUCUCUUAACUGUUUUUUUUUCUUACUUUUAAUAGUAAUAUGAUUUUUUCAAGUUUAAUCAUGUAGUCAUGAAUUAAAAGUCUGUGAUUGUUUACCAAAACAUGAUAAAACAAUUAACCUUUUUUCUUUUAGGAUGCAAUUCUCUCUAGAUGAUACAAUUUUAUCUAGGUCGAACAAAUGAUAUGUUUAUUGUAGAUAUACUUAAAUAUCUAUAAAAACACACUUCAUCCUAAAAUAAUUUUCUUUCAUCCAACAUUAUAAAGAGCCAUAGUAAAAAGGAUAAUAAGAUACAAUACAAUUUCUCAAGUUAACGAGUUCAAGGACGAAAAAGGGGUGAGAUAAAUACAUAGGCUAAGUGCAAGUUAACUGAAACUGGUUCCGACACCAAAGAUUACAGAUCGACUAAGGAUUCUCGACAAAACUGUUGAAAGACUUGUGACAUUUUUCUCGACAGAGUGGGAAUUUUGUUGCAGUUCAAGAUUGACUACACAUGGAAGCAAUGAAAGUGACAAAAGGCCAUGUAGCAUAUACAUGUCAAAUACUGGAGAUUGACCAUUUCCAUGGGUUACUGAUAUACUUAAUUAUAAGUUUAUUUAAUCUAUGGUUACAAGUGUCCGUUAAUUUUCAUUAUUAGUCUCUAUAGAAUUCUACCAUCCAAGUUAGCAAAGUAUGUGAAUUUAUGGACACAUAUAUAAUAUGCUCCCCAUUUUUAACUUAAGAAGCAUUUACUUCAUUUCUUUUAUCAUUUCCUUUAUCUUCUAACAAUUAUGAUUCUGUACUUUCUGAUAUUUUCUUCAAUUGUUUACAUUCAACCACGAGUGGUUAAGCAUGAAUAAUUUUUCUAAAAACCGUUUUUCACCCAAAUAUGUAUAUGAUUUUUUCGAGUUUAAUCAUUAACUGAAUUAAAAGUUGUGAUUGUUACCAAAAACAUCGUAAACAUAACUUUUUCUUUUUGGGUACAAUUCUUCUUAGAUGAUACAAUUUAUUCAUUGUUGAACAAAUGGAUUAUGUUUUUUAGUAUACUUAAAUUAUUAUAAAAAAACAAACAUUUAUCCUUUAAAAAUAAUUUCUUUCAUCUAACAUAUAAAUAGCGUAUUAAAGUGCGUAUAAGAUACGUACAUUUCUCCAGGGUUAAAGUCCCAGAGGGAAAAAGGAAUGAGAUAAAUACAUAGCUAAGCGAAGUAAUUGAAACGGGGUUCGAAACCAAGAUUACAAGAUUCGACUUCAGAUCUUACAAAGUAGUUGAGACUUGUGAAUUUUUCUCGACAGAAGUGGCAUUUGGUUGCAGUUCAAAGAUUUGAAGACACGUCGGAAGCAAUAAAGAGAUAGAAGUCCAUGUAGCAAUAUACAGUCAAAGGUGGAGAUUUGACCGUUUCCAUGGUUACUGAUGUAUUGUUAUAAGUUUAUUUAAUCUCGCUGUACAGUUUUGCAAUUCAUUAUUAGUCUCUAUAGAUUCUACAAUGCCAAGUUAACAAAGUUAGUGAAUUGUGAGAAAAUAUAUAAUUAUAGUUCCCCAUUUUUAACUUAAGCAUUUCACUUCAUUUUUUACCAUUUCCUUUAUUUCUAACAAUUUACGCUUUAUGUUUCUCGAAUUUUCCUCCAAUAGAUUACACUUCAAACAUUAGUGUUAAGCAUGAACAAUUUUCUCUGCGUUUUUCUACACAUAUGUAAUAUGGUUUAUAUCGAUCCUAAUCAUGUAGUGAUUAAAAGUUGUGAUUGUUUUUACAAAAACAUCGGUAAACAUAACUUUUUUUUUCUUUUUGGAUGCUAUUCUUCUCUAGAUGAUAUAAUUUCUUUCUUUGUGACAAUGAUUAAUGUCUUUACUGAUGAUACUUAAAUUAUAUAAAAACCAAACAUUCAUCCUUUAAAAUAAAUUUCUUUCAUCCCAACAUAUAAGAGUGCAUGUUAAAAGUGGUAUAAGAUACAAUUAUAUUUCUCCACGUUACAAUCAAAACUAUAUUGGUUUACUUCUCUAUAAAGCGGCUCGUUGGAUUCAAUCUGGCCAGAUACAAAAUACAUAAUGUGAUAUUUGAAUAAUUAACUUUGUUUUAUUUAAAAAUUCCAUAAUUUAAUUUCCUCAUAACAAAAUUAGUAUUUUACUUUUUAAUUAAAUAUAUUAUAAGACAACUUAAUUAAUUUUUGCCUAAAUCUCACGAUAAUUUUCAAUGUGCAACUUAUCUGCUCAUAUAUAUUAUUUUCAUAUACUUUAUAAAAUACUAUUCAUAUUUUCUCUCCGUAUUUCUGAAUUAUAAAAUGAGUAAUAUAUAUAUAUAUAUGAUAAUAAUAUAUUAAAUAAUAUAAUAUAUAUAUAUUAUAUAUAUUAUAUAAUAUAAUAUAUAUAAAAAAAAUUAGAUCAAGUGCAAAUAAACUAUUUUGCAACACUUCAACUUCUUUUGUGCCACAUCAUUUAAUUUCCACAUGUGGAAUCUUUUAUUUUUAUAUAUAUUAAUCCAGUGUCAUCAAACUAUCUUGCGACACUUCAAUUUCUUUUAUGCACAUCAUUUAUUUUCCACGUGGCAACUCUCAAAUUCAUCUCAAUUUUCAAAAGAAUCAAAACAUAUUGUUACUCUCUAUAAAAGGUUUUCGGUUUGAAAUUUACCUAUACAAAAAUAACAAUAAUGUGAUAUUUAAGUAUAACCUUGUUUAUUUCAAAACAUCAUAUGAUUUACUCACUAUAAAUUUAUUAUUAUUAUUUUUAAUAAUGUAAAUUAUAUAACCAAAUAUAAAUAUUUUUUUUAUUAAUCUCAGCGAAUAAGUUUUCAAAAUACAACUUACCUGCUCAUAUUUUAUUUUUAUAAACUUUAUAAAAUACUAUUAUAUUUGUCUUCCAGUAAUUUUAAUAAUAAAAAUGAAAAAAAAUUGUGUUUAUCUUUUAUUUUGUGUCUCACAAUAAUUAGAACUUUCAAUUUUCUAAAAUAAAUAAUAUAGUACUUUUCAUCAUAUAUUACAAUAAAAAUACUAAAUUUAUAAUAAUAUAUUAGAUUUAACAUAUAAUUUUAAAACAAAAAUUAAAUAAAUUAAAAUAUAAUAAAAAAGAGAUAAGUGCAUAAAAAUAGAUUAUAUAAUAUAUAAUCUCUUUAUAUAUAUAUAUAUAUAUAUAUAUAUAUAUAUAUAUAUAUAUAUAUAUAUAUAUAUAAUAUAUAUAUAUAUAUAUAUAUAUAUAUAUAAAAUAUUAUAUAUAUAUAUAUUAUAUAUAUAUAUAUAUAAUUAAUAUAUAAAAUAUAUAUAUAUAUAUAUAUAUAUAUAUAUAUAUAUAUUAUAUUAUAUAUAUAUAUAUAUAUUAUAUAUUAUAUUAUAAAUAUAAUAUAAUAAUUAUAUAAUAUAUAUUAUAGUAUAUAUAAUAUAUAUCUAAUAUAAUAAUAUAUAUAUAUAUAUAAAUAGAUUAAUAUAUUAUAUAAUCUAUUUUUUAUGCACUUAUCUCUUUUUUAUUAUAUUUUAAUUUAUUUAAUUUUUUGUUUUAAAAUUAUAUGUUAAAUCUAAUAUAUUAUUUAAAUAUUAGUAUUUUUUAUUGUAAAAUAUAUGAUGAAGAAGUACUAUAUUAUUUAUUUUUAGAAAAUUGAAAGAUUCUUAAAUUAUUUGUGAGACACAAAAUAAAAGAUAAACAAUUUUUUUUUCAUUUUUAUUAUUAAGAAAUUACUGUAAGACAAAUAUAAAUAGUAUUUUAUAAAGUUUAUAAAAAUAAAAUAUGAGCAGGUAAGUUGUAUUUUGAAAACUUAUUCGCUGAGAUUUAAUAAAAAAAUAUUUAUAUUUGUUAUAUAAUUUACAUUAUUAAAAAUAAUAAUAAUAAAUUUAUAGUGAGUAAAUCAUUAUGAUGUUUUUUGAAAUAAACAAGGUUAUACUUAAAUAUCACAUUAUUGUAUUUUUGUAUUAGGUAAAUUUCAAACCGAAAACCUUUUAUAGAGAGUAACAAUAUGUUUUGAUCUUUUGAAAAUUGAAGAUGAAUUUUGAGAGUUGCCACGUGGAAAAAUAAAUGAUGUGGCAUAAAAGAAAUUGAAGUGUCGCAAGAUAGUUUGAUACACUGGAUUUAAUAUAUAUAAAAAUAAAUAGAUUCCACAUGUGGAAAAUUAAAUGAUGUGGCACAAAAGAAGUUGAAGUGUUGCAAAAUAGUUUGAUGCACUUGAUCUAAUUUUUUUUUUAUAUAUAUAUAUAUAUAUAUAUAUAUAUAUAUAUAUAUAUAUAUAUAUAUAUAUAUAUAUAUAUAUAUAUAUAUAUANNNNNNNNNNNNNNNNNNNNNNNNNNNNNNNNNNNNNNNNNNNNNNNNNNNNNNNNNNNNNNNNNNNNNNNNNNNNNNNNNNNNNNNNNNNNNNNNNNNNNNNNNNNNNNNNNNNNNNNNNNNNNNNNNNNNNNNNNNNNNNNNNNNNNNNNNNNNNNNNNNNNNNNNNNNNNNNNNNNNNNNNNNNNNNNNNNNNNNNNNNNNNNNNNNNNNNNNNNNNNNNNNNNNNNNNNNNNNNNNNNNNNNNNNNNNNNNNNNNNNNNNNNNNNNNNNNNNNNNNNNNNNNNNNNNNNNNNNNNNNNNNNNNNNNNNNNNNNNNNNNNNNNNNNNNNNNNNNNNNNNNNNNNNNNNNNNNNNNNNNNNNNNNNNNNNNNNNNNNNNNNNNNNNNNNNNNNNNNNNNNNNNNNNNNNNNNNNNNNNNNNNNNNNNNNNNNNNNNNNNNNNNNNNNNNNNNNNNNNNNNNNNNNNNNNNNNNNNNNNNNNNNNNNNNNNNNNNNNNNNNNNNNNNNNNNNNNNNNNNNNNNNNNNNNNNNNNNNNNNNNNNNNNNNNNNNNNNNNNNNNNNNNNNNNNNNNNNNNNNNNNNNNNNNNNNNNNNNNNNNNNNNNNNNNNNNNNNNNNNNNNNNNNNNNNNNNNNNNNNNNNNNNNNNNNNNNNNNNNNNNNNNNNNNNNNNNNNNNNNNNNNNNNNNNNNNNNNNNNNNNNNNNNNNNNNNNNNNNNNNNNNNNNNNNNNNNNNNNNNNNNNNNUAUAUAUACUCAUUUUUAUAAUUCAGAAAUUACAGUGAGAAAAAUAUGAAUAGUAUUUUAUAAAGUAUAUGAAAAUAAUAUAUAUGAGCAGAUAAGUUGAAUGUUGAAAAAUUAUUCGUAGAGAUUUAGCAAAAAUUUAAUUAUAUUUGUCUUAUAAUAUAUUUUAUUAAAAAUAAUAAUAUAAUUUUUGUUAUGAGUAAAUUAUUAUGAUAUUUUUUAAAAUAAACAAAGUUAAUAUUCAAAUAUCACAUUAUUGUAUUUUUGUAUCUGGCAGAAUUUGAAUCCAACACCUUUUAUAGAGAGUAACAAUAUAUUUUGAUUGUUAACCGUGGAGAAAUAUAUUGUAUCUUAUACCACUUUUAAUGCACUCUUUAUAUGUUGGGAUGAAAGAAAUUUAUUUUAAAGGAUGAAUGUUUGUUUUUUUAUAAUAAUUUAAGUAUAUCAUAAAGACAUAAUCAUUUGUUCAACAAAGAAGAAAUUAUAUCAUCUAGAGAAGAAUAGCAUCCCAAAAAGAAAAAAAAAAGGUUAUGUUUACCGAUGUUUUUGGUAAACAAUCACAACUUUUAAUUCACUUACAUGAUUAGAUUCGAAAAAACCAUAUUACAUAUUGUGUAGAAAACGGUCAGAGAAAAAUUGUUCAUGCUUAACAACUAAGUGUUUGAAUGUAAUCUAUUUGAGGAAAAUAUCAGAAACUAUAAAUGCGUAAUUGUUAGAAAAUAAAGGAAAUGGUAAAAGAAAUGAAGUGAAAUGCUUAAGUUAAAAAUGGGGAACAUAUUUAUAUAUUUUCUCACAAAUUCACUAACUUUGUAACUUGGAUGUUAGAAUUCUAUAGAGACUAAUAAUGAAAUUUGCAAACACUUGUUACAGAGAUUAAAUAAACUUAUAUACAAGUACAUCAGUAACCAUGGAAAACGGUCAAAUCUCCAGCAUUUGACAUGUAUAUUGCUACAUGGACUUCUAUCCUCUUUAUUGCUUCCACGUGUCUUCAAUCUUUGAACUGCAACAAAAUUGCCACUUCUGUCGAGAAAAAUUCACAAGUCCUUCAACUAUCUUUGUCAAGAAUCUUAAGUCGAAUCUUGUAAUCUUGGUUUCGAACCCCGUUUCAAUUACUUGCGCUUAGCCUAUGUAUUUAUCUCAUUCCUUUUUCCCUCUUGGACUUUUAACCCUGGAGAAAUGUAUCGUAUCUUAUACCACUUUUAAUACGCUAUUUAUAUGUUAGAAUGAAAGAAAUUUAUUUUAAAGGAUAAAUGUUUGUUUUUUUAUAAUAAUUUAAGUAUAUCAUAAAAACAUAAUCAUUUGUUCAACAAUGAAUAAAUUGUAUCAUCUAAAGAAGAAUUGUAUCCCAAAAAGAAAAAAGGUUAUGUUUACCGAUGUUUUUGGUAAGCAAUCACAACUUUUAAUUCAGUUAAAUGAUUAAACUCGAAAAAAUCAUAUUACAUAUUGUGUUGAAACGGUUUGAGAAAAAUUAUUCAUGCUUAACCACUCGGUGUUUGAAUGUAAACAAUUUGAAGAAAAUAUCAGAAAGUAUAAAUUCAUAAUUGUUAGAAGAUAAAGGAAAUGAUAAAAGAAAUGAAGUAAAAUGCUUAAGUUAAAAAUGGGGAGCAUAUUUAUAUAUGUUCCCAUAAAUUCACUAUCUUUGCAACUUGGAUGUUAGAAUUCUAUAGAGACUAAUAAUGAAAAUUACGGACACUUGUAACAUAGAUUAAAUAAACUUAUAUAUUAAGUAUAUCAGUAACCAUGGAAAAUGGUCAAAUCUCCAGUAUUUGACAUGUAUAUUGCUACAUGGCCUUUUGUCAUCUUCAUUGCUUCCAUGUGUAGUCAAUCUUUGAACUGCAACAAAAUUCCCACUUCUGUCGAGAAAAAUUCACAAGUCUUUCAACUAGUUUUGUCGAGAAUCCUUAGUCGAAUUUUGUAAUCUUGGUGUCGAACCAAGUUUCAGUUACUUGCACUUAGCCUAUGUAUUUAUCUCACCCCCUUUUUCGUCUUGAACUUUUAACUGUGGAGAAAUGUAUUGUAUCUUAUAUCACUUUUACUAUGCUCUUUAUAUGUUGGGAUGAAAGAAAUUUAUUUUAAAGGAUAAAUGUUUGUUUUUUAUAAUAAUUUAAGUAUAUCAUAAAAACAUAAUCAUUUGUUCAACCUAGAUUAAAUUGUAUCAUCUAGAGAAGAAUUGCAUCUCUAAAAGAAAAAAGGUUAUGUUUAUCGAUGUUUUUGGUAAACAAUCACAACUUUUAAUUCACUUACAUGAUUAAACUUGAAAAAAUCAUAUUACAUAUUAAGUAGAAACAGUUAGAGAGAAAUGUUCAUGCCUAACCACACGGUGUUUGAAUGUAAACAAUUUGAGGAAAAUAUCAUAAAGUAUAAAUGCGUAAUUCAAAGAAGAUAAAGGAAAUGAUAAAAGAAAUGAAGUGAAAUGCUAAAGUUAAAAAUGGGGAGCAUAUUUAUCUAUUUUCUCACAAAUUUACUAUCUUUGUAACUUGGAUGUUAGAAUUCUAUAAAGACUAAUAAUGAAAUUUGCGAACGCAUGUUACAAACAUUAAAUCAACUUAUAUACAAGUACAUCAAUAACCAUGGAAAACGGUCAAAUCUCCAGAAUUUGAUAUGUAUAGUUCUACAUGGGCUUCUACCCUUUUCAUUGCUUCCUUGUGUCUUAAAUCUUUGAACUGCAACAAAGUUCCCACUUUUGUCGAGAAAAAUUCACAAGUCCCUAAAUUACCUUCGUCGAGAAUCCUUAACCGAAUCUUGUAAUAUUGGUGUCGAACCAUGUUUCAAUUACUUACGCUUAGCCUAUGUAUUUAUCUCACCCCUUUUUUCCUCUUGGACUUUUAACCAUGGAGAAAUGUAUUGUAUCUUAUAUCACUUUUACUACACUCUUUAUAUGUUGGGAUAAAAGAAGUUUAUUUUAAAGGAUAAAUGUUUGUUUUUUUAUAAUAAUUUAAGUAUAUCAAAAAACAUAAUCAUUUAUUCAACAAUGAAUAAAUUAUAUCAUCUAGAGAAGAAUUGCAUCCCCAAAAGAAAAAAGGUUAUGUUUACCGAUGCUUUUGGUAAACAAUCACAACUUUUAAUACACUUAUAUGAUUAAACUCGAAAAAUAUCAUAUGACAUAUUGUGUAGAAACGGUUUGAGAAAAAUUGUUCAUGCUUAACCACUCACUGUUUGAUUGUAAACAAUUUGAGGAAAAUAUCAGAAAGUAUAAAUGUGUAAUUGUUAGAAGAUUAAGGAAAUGAUAAAAGAAAUGAAGUGAAAUGCUUAAGUUAAAAAUGGGGAGCAUAUUUAUAUAUUUUCUCAUAAAUUCACUAUCUUUUUAACUUGGAUGUUAGAAUUCUAUAGAGACUAAUAAUGAAAAUUGUGAACGCUUGUUACAGAGAGUAAAUCAACUUAUAUACAAGUACAUCAGUAACCAUGGAAAAUGGUAAAAUCUCCCGCAUUUGACAUGUAUAGUGCUACAUGACCUUCUAUCCUCUUCAUUGCUUCCACGUGUCUUCAAUCUUUGAACUGCAACAAAAUUGCCAGUUUUGUCAAGAAAAAUUUACAAGUCCUUCAACUAUCUUUGUCGAGAAUCCUUAGUCGAAUCUUGUAAUCUUGGUGUCAAACCAUGUUUCAAUUACUUGCGUUUAGCCUAUGUAUUUAUCUCACCCCCUUUUUCCUCUUGGACUUUUAACCGUGGAGAAAUGUAUUGUAUCUUAUAUCACUUUAACUACGCUUUUUAUAUGUUGGGAUGAAAGAAAUUUAUUUUAAUGGAUAAAUAUUUGUUUUUUUAUAGUAAUUUACAUAUAUCAUAAAUACAUAAUCAUUUGUUCAACAAAGAAGAAAUUGUAUCAUCUAGUGAAGAAUUGCAUCCCAAAAAAGAAAAAAAGGUUAUGUAUAUCGAUGUUUUUGGUAAACAAUCACAACUUUUAAUUCACUUACAUGAUUAAACUCGAAAAAAUCAUAUUAAAUAUUGUAAAGAAACGGUUAGAGAAAUAUUUUUCAUGCUUAACCAGUCAGUGUUUGAAUGUAAAUUUUUUGAGGAAAAUAUCAGAAAGUAUAAAUGAAUAAUUGUUAGGAGAUAAAGGAAAUGAUAAAAUAAAUGAAGUAAAAUGCUUAAGUUAAAACUGGGGAGCUUAUUUAUAUAUUUUCUCAAAAAUUCACUAUCUUUGUAACUUGGAUGUUAGAAUUCAAUAAAGACUAAUAAUGAAAAUUGUGAAUGCUUGUUACAGUGAUUAAAUCAACUUAUAUAGAAGUACAUCAGUAACCAUGGAAAACGGUCAAAUCUCUAGCAUUUGACAUGUAUAGUGCUACAUGGCAUUCUAUCCUCUUCAUUGCUUCCAUGUGUCUUCAAUCUUUGAACUGCAACAAAAUUCACACUUCUGUCGAGAAAAAUUCACAAGUCCUUAAACUACCUUUGUCGAGAAUCCUUAGCCGAAUCUCGUAAUCUUGGUGUCGAACCAUGUUUCAAUUACUUGCGCUUAGCCUAUGUAUUUAUCUCACCCCUUUUUCCUCUUGGACAUUUAACCGUGUAGAAAUGUAUUGUAUCUUAUAUCACUUUUACUGCACUCUUUAUAUUUUUGGAUGAAAAAAGUUUAUUUUAAAGGAUAAAUGUUUUGAUCUUUUGAAAAUUGAAGAUGAAUUUUCAGAGAUGCCACAUGGAAAAAUAAAUGAUGUGGCAUAAAAUAAAUUGAAGUGUCGUAAGAUAGUUUGAUACAUUGGAUUUAAUAUAAUAUAUAUAUAUAUAUAAUAGAUAGAUUCCACAUAUGAGAAAUUAAAUGAUGUGGCACAAAAGAAGUUAAAGUGUUGCAAGAUAGUUUGAUUCACAAAAAAAUCAAAUAUUUGGCCUUUUGUUCUUUUUCAUUUAAACCUUUGUUAAAAUCAAUUCACCAACUUCUUUGUAAUUUUUUCCACGAACUACGGGGUUUUGAUCCCUCAUUUUUAUGUUGGUACGUAGGCAUAAGAUCAAAGGUCUUGUCAAACACAAAAAUAUAAUCAAUGAAUUUUUUUCUCAUCCCCACACUCUUUAUUUUAUCAAACAUCAUUUAGACCAAAAAAAAAUAUGCACUCAAAAAGGGCUCCCUAGGAGUACCUAGGACACUUUGGGUGAUAAUACCUUCCUGUCAUACCCCAAUUUUGUCCGGGCAUUUAUAAACUUUCAUAAAUUCGAUUUUAUUUUCAGUUUGCAUCAACUGUAUAGCAUGACAUGCAUUUCAUCGUGAAUAAUACCUAAAAAUAUCAGUCGGAAUAAACUCUCGGAUAUACAGACAAAAGGGACAUUCUUUUAUGUUUUGAAGGAUUUUAUUAAUUCUCGUACAUGGAUCGGCUAGUUCUGAUCAGAUCAUAUCAGACAUUCUACAUUUGACAAGUUAACCACACCACUUGAAGUCGUAGAUUUUAAUUUUUACUAAAUGGCCGAAGCCGAUUGGGCCAGAGGUUUCAUUAAAUGUUACCCGGUCAAAGCCAAUUAUGCCAGAGGCUUUAAGUGCGCUUGGACUUUAGUUAGGCCAGAGGUUUUAUUAAAUUUUACUCGAUCGAAGUCGAUUUUUCCUGAGGCUUCAAGUGCACUUGGACUUCAGUUAUGCCAAUUUUUUUAUUAAACGUUAUCCGGUCGAAGCCGAUUAGACCAGAGGUUUCAAGUGCGCUUAGACUUCAGUUAGGCCAGAGAUUUUACUAAACCCAAUUUUUCCCUUCAUUCAAUAAAUUAAUACAGUUAUCAUGACAUUUGCAUCACCUAUACAUCAUAACAUGUAUUUCAUCUUGCAUAAUGCCUAAAAUGUCAACCAGAGUAAUUUUUUGGAUCUACAGGCAGACUGAUGAAUCAGUUUUCAAAUAUGCUUCAAAAUAACGGCAAAAGAUUUCAUUCUCCAACUUGUAGACAUCAGUUUUAUUAAUCUAUGGUUCGCGUAGUUUAAUCUGUUGUGCUCGAUUUAUUUUUCAGAUAAGUUUUCAGUCACAUUUUAAUCCGUCUGAUUGUUUUAACCAGACAUUUUCCAAUUCAAAAUCUGACAAAAACCUGUAUGUUUUCAAGAAGUUUAUUUCGCACCGAUCAUUUUGGUGCAUUCAAUUUAAUUUUUCGAGGACUUUUGCGCCCGAUUUUUAUUCAUUUUAAAUCCAUUUAUUUUUAUUCUUUUGUCAAAAGAUUCAGAAAUAUUAAAUAGGAUUGUCCAUGUCACCAUUUUUAUUUUAUCAUAGAUAUUUUUAAAGAGGUGAAUUUUUAUUUCCUUUAAUUAAUUUAAUUUGUUGUUGGUAAGUUAAAGCAUCUAGAAGGAGCAAUUUUGUCAUUUUAAAUUAGUUGUGUGACAACUCUUUAGAAAAUUGAAAAAAUAUUUUCCAUUUAAAUGUCAGCAAAAUAUACUCAUGAAUAAACAAUAAUUUUUCUCUCUCACAAGUAAGCUGCCCCAACGGUUCUCUCUUCCUCUCACGUAACUAGCAAGGAUAAAAAGUCUGAUCAUUUAAUGAUACCCUCUCUCCACACAUUUCAACAUGUGAUUGGUGGAAAGGAUUUUUCAAAUUUUGAGUAUAUGCACUAAAAAACAAAAAGAGAAUGGGAAUAAAAGGGGUUUACACACAAACACGAGAGAUACAAUUGACUGAGGAUUCUCAAUGGUGAAUGGUUUUUCUGAAAAAGAAACACUCCCCCCUAUUAAUCUCCCCUUCCCUCAAAUAUACUCUCUCAGAACUUGAAAUAAAAGACAACUUCUUCUUCGUGAUAAACAAAACCCCUGUUGUGGCUUCCUUCUGCUCACCAUCAUCAACACUUUCCCAGCUCCAAAAAGUCAUCCCCUGUUAACCUCCUCUUUGUUCGUCUCAGGCCACCAUAACACUCACCCACCGCUCAAACAUUCUCACUCCCAAAAUGUUUUCGUGUCACAUAUCUCCAUGACACGACACUUGCAACUCCAAUUCCACUACAUCAUUGCUCACCAAAAUCCAUUCCAACCAUGACAAUAUCCCUUCACAUGAAACUCAAACUCUAUAACUCAAACCUUCUAACCACCCACAACAAAGCUCACAGAUCCAUUUCACCUCAUCUAUGACCUCCUUCAAACCCUCUUCAACUGCAAGUUGCUCAGUCUUUAUCAUCAUUACCGUGUGCAGCAACGCUCGACACUUUAAGCUCAGUACGCAAAGCAAUCGAAUGUGUGGCGAGAUCAACAUUAUUCAUUGAGGUUAAAGGGGUGUUUCAAUUCUGUUAACUUUUUUUAUCUUAUUCCAACUCUGUUUCGAUUUUUCUAUUUGCGUGUAUCAUGUCGGUAUAUUUAGUCUUAUUAUUUUUUAUGGUUGAUAUGUAUGCUACAAAGUUUGUUUUUGUUUUGCUUUCAAAGUGUUAUGAUUUUUGUAUGUCUCAGUUUUAUUUCGAUUUUAGUAAGCUUUUUCUGUGUUAAUAUCAUGCCAUGUUUGUUUUAUUGGAAAGAUUAUUACAUAAUGUUCAAUCGAUGGAGCCUUUCAUGCUCGAUUUUUCCCGAUGGUUUUGCUGUUCUUUUUGAACUUGGACUUUCAUUUAUCAGUUUUGUUUUCAUCAUGUGUGAACCAGGAAUUUGAUUCUGAGCUUGUUUUCCAUUUGUUUUAAUUUGUUUUUUUGCUGGAGCGGUUCUUUUGCAUUCCUAUUUCCUGCACAUUGGUUUUCUAUUCAAAAACGCUAUUGGUUGUGUUAAUACUUUAGCUACUUUAUUCAUUUCCUUUUAUGUUUGUUCAGAAGAAAGAUAAUGAAAGAGAUAGCUAAAAAAUACAGAAUUAAGAGAGGUGGAGUGUCAACUGUUUUUGUUUAGGACUGUGUUAAUUAAGUUCAUUUUUUAUAAAAUAUAUCUCAUGUGUCUGACUACAGUCGAUUAUGUUCUUUUUGUCUAAAUUUUGAAAAAAAGUUAACAACUUAUAAAUUACUGCUAUUAUUAUUAUAACUAGUAAAGGACCCGUGCGUUCGCACGGGUCGCGCAAAUGCAAUAAUUUAUUUAAAAAAAAUUAAAAUAUAAUAUAUUUUUUUAUUUAUAUAUA